RNAcentral lists this ribosomal RNA (484 nucleotides) under uncultured bacterium. RNAcentral's name for it is "partial 16S ribosomal RNA". It matches the Rfam family "Bacterial small subunit ribosomal RNA", at positions 30 to 507 of the family's 1533-position model. The record is from RNAcentral.
AUUGAACGCUGGCGGCAGGCCUAACACAUGCAAGUCGAGCGGAUGAAGGGAGCUUGCUCCUGGAUUCAGCGGCGGACGGGUGAGUAAUGCCUAGGAAUCUGCCUGGUAGGGGGGGAUAACGUCCGGAAACGGGCGCUAAUACCGCAUACGUCCUGAGGGAGAAAGUGGGGGAUCUUCGGACCUCCCGCUAUCAGAUGAGCCUAGGUCGGAUUAGCUAGUUGGUGGGGUAAAGGCCUACCAAGGCGACGAUCCGUAACUGGUCUGAGAGGAUGAUCAGUCACACUGGAACUGAGACACGGUCCAGACUCCUACGGGAGGCAGCAGUGGGGAAUAUUGGACAAUGGGCGAAAGCCUGAUCCAGCCAUGCCGCGUGUGUGAAGAAGGUCUUCGGAUUGUAAAGCACUUUAAGUUGGGAGGAAGGGCAGUAAGUUAAUACCUUGCUGUUUUGACGUUACCAACAGAAUAAGCACCGGCUAACUUCGUG